This 440-nucleotide ribosomal RNA is filed under the name uncultured bacterium. RNAcentral describes it as "partial 16S ribosomal RNA". It matches the Rfam family "Bacterial small subunit ribosomal RNA", at positions 338 to 795 of the family's 1533-position model. The record is from RNAcentral.
CCUACGGUGGACUGCAGUGGGGAAUAUUGCACAAUGGGGGAAACCCUGAUGCCGCGACGCCGCGUGAGUGCAGAAGUACCUCGGUACGUAAAGCUCUUUCAGCAGGGAAGAAAAUGACGGUCCUUUACUAAUAAGCCCCUGCUAACUACGUGCCCGCAGCCGCGGUACUACGUAGGGGGCAAGCCUUAUCCGGAUUUACUGGGUGGAAAGGGAGCGUAGACGGCAGCACAAGUCUGGAGUGAAAUCCCGGGGGUUAACCCCGAGACUGCUUUGGAAACUGGUCGGCUGGAGUGUAGGAGGGGUAAGCGGAAUUACUGGUGUAGCGGUGAAAUGCGUAGAUAUUAGGAGGAACACCGGUGGCGAAGGCGGCUUACUGGACUAUAACUGACGUUGAGGCUCGAAAGCGUGGGGAGCAAACAGGAUUAGAUACCCGAGUAGUC